UUCGAGCGUCAGUACAACACUCAAGCCUAGCUUGGUCUUGGGCCUCGCCGGAGACGGCGGGCCUUAAAAUCAGUGGCGGCGCCUCUCGGGCCCUAAGCGUAGUAAUACUCCUCGCUACAGGGACCCGGUGGACGCUGGCCAGCAACCCCCAACUUUCUAAGUUUGACCUCGGAUCAGGUAGGGAUACCCGCUGAACUUAA
Molecule: unclassified non-coding RNA, 200 nt
Filed under: soil metagenome
Description: partial contains internal transcribed spacer 2 and large subunit ribosomal RNA
Source: RNAcentral